UUCAAUACUGUAAUAAAACUAAAUACGGUAUAACAAAUACCAAAUCUGAUACAUCUGUCUGAAAAUACUAUAGUCUGAAAAAGCCUCUAAACUAUCUGAAAUAUAGAGUUGAUGGGACAAGUCCCCAACUAACUCCAAAAUACUAAAAUAAGCUGAACAACUGAAAUAAUCAUCAUGUCCUCGAAACUAAGAGGACUUACCACUAACUCUGUCAGCUGAAUAUCUUAACUGCUAAGUAUGAUUGGGAGCCCAAGCGUCUAAACCUAUGAUAUAAAGCAUCAUAGUGCAAAAGAAAGGUAUGUAUCAGUACUUUGAAUGUACUGGUAUGCAAAGUGAGGUAGGCUAAAAUGCAUGGGUUCAUAUGCAUGAACAAUACUGAUUGAAUGACAUGAAUAUAAUUGAAUGAGAGUACAUACAUGAAUACAUAUACUGUAAUCUGAGGUCGUGAUAACACUGGAUACUGAGUUCUGAAUUACUGAUUUACUGAUAUCUGAGUUUACUGAUACUGUGUAGCUGAUAAUUGAGUGACGGUAUCUAACAGUCUUAAUCCUGUGGAACUAUACUGAAUUUCAUACUGAACUGAGUGAUUGUAUCUAACAGUCCUGAAUCUGUAGAACUGAACUGAGUUCUAUUCUGAGACUGGAACUGAAACUGGGACUGUGGAGAUAAUCAUCUAACUGACAUGCCUCUUUCUGAAUAGAUUGGGGUCCAAUCUGUAACCCCAGUUAUAAGGGUGUCAGUACCGUGCCACGGGUAAAGACAAGCUGAGAGUUAACCCUAUCUGAUAGGAAGCUCUUUCAUCAAACCUCGCUGACAGAAAAACUCAUACGAGAUGUAUCAACUCUAAUCUGGCAGGAAGAUAUCUCAACCUACGCUGGCUACGUAGUUCUGUAAUAUAGGGAUUGCUACUAAGGGUCAAACCCUCUGCUGGCAAGAAUGCCCCUAUCCCUGGGUUCGCUCGGUGCUGAAUCCUACUCCCAACUGAAUAGACAUUGAACUGAUCCCUAGUUCAUACUAGGCUUAACUGAACGGUUACUGAUUAUAUUGUCUAACUGAACUGAACUGAGUUCCAUUAACUAACGGAAUACUACUAAAUUUUGUUAACUGAACUGAGGCCUGAACUGAAUACUAAACUGGACUGGACUGAUACUGAGUCUACUAAGUUUUUCCUGAGUUCUGUAACUGACUAGGAGUACUACUGAUCGUGACAUGACUGAUACUAUCCUGAGACUGACCAUGAUUCUAGGUAAUCAACUAAAUUAUUAGGUAUUAAAUACCCCCAGGACUCAAUAACAUAAAUUAUAAGACAUGACAUAAUCUUGAAACAUGAUAAAUAACUACUUACUCAUUAUUCAUUCAUUGGGUUAUUCUAGCAAACACUUGCAUGACAUGAACUUGAAUACAUGUUAACAUGAUAUAAUUUCAUUAUUUAAUUCUCAUGAACAACUCAUCAAACUCUUGGAAGGCAUUAUAUAUGCACAUAGAACUAAUCAAAACAUGAGCAUGACAAUUUCAAGGCUUUAACAUUCACAUGAUACUACAUCAUAAUAGUUGUUUUUACAUAAAUCUUGCACUUAAUCAUGUAAUAGAAAUCCAAUCAACAUUAUAAUCAUGAUACACUUGAAUCCAAAUCAUGGAAAACAUGAAAUUAAGCUACUUGAAGUUUAAAAGAGUUUCUUGGACUCCAAGGACGAAAGAAACUCUUGGAUGAAAAGUUGACAUACCUUGGUUGCUAAAUUCUUGAAGAAAAAUGGUGAAACCUUGAGCCUUGGCUUUGAAAUUAAAUCAUCUAGGGUUCUUGUGCUUGAGCAAUUUGAGAGAAAGUGAGUAUAUUUUGCUCAAUGAAGGCUGAAUCUCAUGUUUUAGGGCUGAAUAGGGGUGGGAAAAAGACCCUAAUACCCCCAAGGAUGCGAAUUUUUAAUUACUGAAAACCGGACUGUCGAUGCGCAGACCUAUGUGCAGCAUCAUUGGCAUCGAUGUGAUGGCCAAUGCGCCACAUCAGUUCACUGGAAAUUGCCACUGGAAGCUAAGGAAAAAUAUUGAUCGAUGCGACAGCUGCCAUGUCGCACCGAGAUUGCAUCGAUUCACUAUUUUGGAUUCCCAAACGUGGUUCAAACGAGGUCCAAAAAAUACAAAACUCAUCUAGGAACACUUAUUGACAUUCUUGAUCAUGAAUCAACCCAAAGAUUGACAUUUUAAGGCCAUAGAGGCCGCGAAAUAGAGUUGCCAACUUAUGAAGGCCAAAAUAAUACUAAGUCUGAAUAAUUUGCUAGAAUUUUCUAAGUCUGGGACCCCUUAGCAAGCUUAAAAGACUGAGUUGAGCUUAGGAUUUUUCGGGGUCUUACAAUAUCUCCCCCUUGGGAACAUUCAUCCUUGAAUAAGACUGAUUAAACUGAUAAUAAUGAUAGACUAGAUUUGGACACUAGACAUGCACAACUGAAGCAUGAUUUCAUGACUGAAAUUAUUAAUAUACUGAAUUAUCAUACUGAACAUGCAUAUCUGAUGCAUGAGUGUAUAGCUGAAUAUGAUUCACGAAUGCAUGACUAGGAUUACUGAUAAACUGAGUCUAUAUACUGAACAUGCAUAUCUGAUGCAUGAGUACAUGACUGAAAAGAUUCGUGAAUGCAUGACUAAGUAUGCAACGUUAAUUGAUACCAAGUUGGUAUCUAUAUCUGAACAUGAGAUCGAGUAAAUUCAAAGAAAAAUUAUUACCUUGAGUUGAGUCUGAAUUUGCAGAAAAGAGGUGAGGAUACUUGAUCCGCAUGUCUGCCUCUGCUUCCCAAGUAGCUCUCUCAAUGGACUGAUUCCGCCAAAGAACUUUGACUAGAGGGACUUCUUUGUUCCUCAGUCUGCGAAUCUGUUAAUCAAGGAUUUCGAGUGAGAUCUCUUCAUAAGAGAGGUUGUUUUAAAUAUCUAUGCCCUCUAUAGGGACUACGACUACUGGAUCACCUAUGCAUUUAUUUAGCUAGGAGACAUGGAACACCGGAUGCACUGAAGCUAAGUCUGAAGGAAACUCAAGCUUGUAAGCUACCUUUUCGAAACGACUGAGAAUUCGGUUAAGAUUGAUAUUUCGGGGACUGAGUUUCCCCUUCUUGCCAAACCUCUUCAGUCCUUUCAUAGGAGAGAAUUUCAAAUACACCAAAUCAUUAAUCUCAAACUCGAGAUCCUUUCUGCGUACAUCUGUGAAUGAUUUCUAUCGGCUCUGAGCUGUCUUAAGCCUUUCCCUGAUCAACUGAACUUUCUUUAAGGUAUCAAAUACCAAUUCAGGCCCUACCACUGCGGACUCACCCACUUUAAACCAACCGAUGGGAGAUCUACACCUUCUCCCAUAAAGCGUUUCAAACGGAGCCAUCUGAAUGCUGGAAUAAUAGUUGUUGUUAUAUGCGAAUUCAAUUCAAGGCAAUUGGUCAUCCCAACUACCUUUAACGUCUAUCUCACAUGAUCGCAUCAUAUAUUCUAAAUUCUAAAUGGUCCUUUCUUCUUGACCAUUUGUCUGAGGGUGAAAGAUUGUACUGAGAUAACUCGGGUACUAAGACCCUUUUAGAAUGCAUUCUAGAAAUGAGAGGUAAACUGAGAACCUCUAUCUGAGAUAAUGGACAGAAACACCGUGCAAUCUGACCAACUCCCUGAUAUAGAGUUUGGUGUAAUCCUCGACUGAAUAAGAGGUAUGGACUGGUAGGAAAUAAGCUGAUUUGGGCAUCCUAUCUACAAUGACCCAAACUAAAUUAUGCUGACGAUGAGUAGGAGGCAAACCCAUCACAAAGUCCAUGUUCACUUCUUCCCAUUUCCAGGUGGGGAUGCUGAACUCCUAGAUGGACCCACUAGGCUUUUGAUGCUCAAUCUCAACCUGUUGACAUGUUGAGCACCUAGCCACAAAAUCUGUAAUAUCUCUCUUUAUCCCACUCCACCAAUAAAUCUCCCAUAAAUCAUGGUACAUCUUAGUGGUCCCUGGAUGAAUAGGGUAGCGUACACUAUGCGCCUCUGCAAGAAUUCACUACCUUAAGUCAUCUACACCUGGCACACAUAGCCGAAUCUGACAUGUAUGGUGAAUAUGUGAUUAUCUUGAUAAACCCUUGAAUUUAUGAAGUUAUUAAUAUAUCUAUGAUGUUAACUUGGAUUUUAAAUCCAUGACUAUGAUAAGAUUCAGGAAAAUAGAAUAGUAUUCAGGGGGAAUUAUCUGAAUUUCAUGUUAAACCCAUGAAAUUGCAAGUUUGGGCAUUGUAGUUGCCAUGCUUAUAUGUUAACCAUGAUUAUGGGCAUUAAGUUGUGCUCCCUAAGUGUUUGAUAGAAUAUUCAUGUGAAUAAAUUGAUAAAACCAUAAGAUGUUAGUAUAUUUACAAGCUUAUACCCUACAAGUGUUUGAUAAAAUAUCUCUAUAAAUGAAUUAUGAACAAGUGUGAAUUGUUAUGCUUUGCAAGAUCAUGUUAUACUUUAAUUUUCAUGUUAUCGAGUGUUGGGGGUAUUUAAUACCCGACAAUCUAGCUUUGUACCUAGAGUCAGUGUCAGUUAUAGAGUAGUAUCAGUUGUGACACGAUCAAUAGUACUCAGUCAGUUACAGAGCUCAGUGAAACUCAGUAUUAGUCCAAUCCAGUCAGCUAACACGCUCAGUAACAGUUCAGUCAAGCCUAGUACAGUCUAGUAAUCAAUUCAGUGUCUUCAGUUGGGAGUAGGAUUUAGCACCGAGCGAACCUAGGGAUGGGGGAAUUCCUAUUAGUAUAUGGUUUGACCCUUAAUAGAAAUCCCUGAGUUACAAAACUACGUAGCCAGUGUAGGUUGGGAUGACUUCCUGCCAGAUAAGGGUUGAUACAUCUCUCAUGAUGUUUUCUAUCAGUGAGGGUUGACAAAAUAUCUUCCUGCCAGUUAAGGUUAACUCACAGCUAUUGUUAGUACUCGUGGCACUGUACUGACACCCUUCUAAUUGGGGUUACAAAUUGGACCCCAACUUAGUUCUCUUAUCUUAUUUGGGGUAUGUCAGUUAGAUGAUUACGUCCCAUAGUUUCAGUCUCAGUCUUUAGAAUAGAACUCAGUUCAGUUCUAAAGAAUCAAGAUUGUCAGUUACAGUCAAUCAAUAUCAAUAACUCAGUUAUCAAAAAUUUCAGAUUAUCAAUUACUUAGUAUCAAAACUCAGUAUUUAGCUUCAAAAAAGCUCAGUUACAGUAUACAUGCACGUAUAUGCACAGUAUUACAUACUCAGUAGUUACAACAGUAUCAUUUAUCUAUGUACUCUCAUGUUCAGUUUCUCUUUAUCAUUCAGUCAGUUAUUGUUCAUACAUAUGAACCCUUGCAUUCAGUCUUACCUCAUCUAGCAUACCAAUACAUUCCACGUACUAACACAUACUCUUUCUUUGCGCUAUGAUGUCUCAUAUCAUAGGUUCGGACGCUUAGGUUCCUAACCGAGCUUAGACAGACUCAGACAACAGCAAUAAAUUUAGCAGUGGGUCCUCAUUAUUUGAGGAUAUUCUUAUUUUAGUUUUUCUGUAGAUUUAGUAUUUUAGUAGUUGGAGUUAGUUGGGGGCUUGUACCAUCAACUCUACUUUCAGAGUGGGUCCUCAUUAUUCAAGGAUAUUCUAUUAUUUUAGUUUUUCGGUAGAUUCAGUAUUUCAGUAGUUGGACUUAGUUGGGGGCUUGUCCCAUCAACUCCACUUUCAGACAGUUCAGUUAGAGGCUUUUCAGACUAGAGUUCAGAUAGUACUUAGUUUUACAGAUUGUUAUUACAGUUUGACAUUUUCAUCAGUAUUUUAGAUGUUUUGAACCUUAUGGAAUUUUAGCCUAUUAUUUCACAUUCAUUAUAGUAUAUUAUUCAGUGCUCACAGCAGAUAUCAGUCAUGGGUUAGCUUUAGUGGUGUACAUAGGUCGGGUUGGUUUGAUUUUUAUUAAAAUAAAAAAUCAAUCAUGUCGGUUUAUUAAAAUUAUAAAACAAAUCAAACCAACAUAAAAUUAAUUUUUUCUGUUUAGGUUUUAGUCUAAUUUUUUUGGUUUUUUGAUUUUUUGGGUUUUUUUUAUUUUUUUAUAAUCUUUAAUUUUUACAAUUAUAUUGUGAUCGAAGACUAGAUCAAAUAUGUUUUCACUCAUGUGCUAAUGAAAAACCAUAAUUAUGAAAAACUGAGGAGCAUAAAACUCUCUUGAAACUAAAAAGUGAGAUGAAGAGUGAAAAGUUUAGGUUUUAAGUUUAUGUUGGGUUUUCGAUCAUUUAAUUUGCAACUAAUGAAUAAAUAUUACAACUUAAAGGUCCAAAUCUAAAUAUAUAUAUACAUCUACUUUCAAAUUAUUGAAAAUUACUAAAACUAGUUGAAAAAUUAUUUAAAAAGUAGAUUAUAAUUAAUAUUUUGUGUAUAAAAAAGUUUGAAUAUUAUAUAUAUAUAUAUUAUGUCGGUUUGAUUCUGGUUUGGUUUGACUUUUUUUUGGUUAACACCAAACUAAACCAAGAAUGGUCGGCUUUUUUACUAACGCCAACCCAAUCAAACCAAAUCAUAAGUCGGUUUUUUUUCUCGGUUUAAUUUAAUUCGUCGGUUCGGUUUGACUUGAUGAUUUGGUCUGUACAAUCCUAGCUAGUUUGUGGUCCUUUGAGGUCAUAAGCACCAUGUAGUAUCCGAUGUACAGACUCGGAGUGUUACAGGAACUUCUUUGUUCCUUAUUCUGUAAAUCUGACAAUCAAGGAUUUGGAAUAGAACCUCUUCUAAAGAGAGAUCAUUCUGGAUAUCUAUGCCCUCUAAGGAAACUAUGACUCCUAGGUUACCAAUUCAUUUAUUUAGCAAGGAGACAUGGAACACUAGUUGCACUGAAGCUAGAUCUGAAGGCAACUCAAGCUCGUAACUACCUUUUUUAAAUGGCUGAGAAUUUUGUAAGGACCGACAUAUCGGUGGCUGAGCUUCCCCUUCUUGUCGAACCUCUUCACUCCCUUCAUAGGAGAGAUUUUCAAGUACACAAAAGCACAAACCUCAAACUCAAAAUCUUUUCUCCUCAUAUCUGCAUACAAUUUAUGUCGGCUCUGGGCUGCCCUAAGCCUUUCUCUGAUCAACUGAACCUUCUCUAAGGAAUCAAAUCCUAAUUCAGGCCCUACUACUGCAGCCUCACCUACCUCAAACCAACCAAUUAGAGAUCUACAUCUCUUACUAUAAAGAGCCUCAAACGGAGCCAUCUGAAUACUAGAAUAUUAGUUGUUAUUAUAUGUGAAUUCGAUCAAAGACAAGUAGUCAUCCUAACUAUCUUUAAAAUCAAUAACACAGGCUCUUAACAUAUCUUUUAGAGUUUGAUGGUCCUUUCUGAUUGACCAUCUGUCUGAGGGUGAAAAUUUGUACUGAGGUGAACUUGGGUACUAAGACCCUUUUGGAAUACCUUUCAAAAAUGAGAGGUAAACUGGGUACCCCUAUCUGAAAUUAUGGAUACUGAGACUUCGUGUAACUUGACCAUCUCUUUGAUAUAGAGUUUGGCGUAGUCCUCGGCUGAAUAGGAAUUAUGGACUGGCAAGAAAUGAGUGAAUUUGGUCAUCCUAUCUACGAUAACCCUAAUCGAAUUAUGUUGAUGACGAGUACGAGGCAAACCCAUCACAAAGCCCAUGUUCACUUCUUCCUAUUUCCAUGUGGGAAUACUAAACUCCUACAUGGACCCACUAGGCUUCUGGUGCUCAAUCUUAACCUGCAGACACAUAAAGCACUUAGCUACAAACUUUGCGAUAUCUUUAUUCAUCCCACUCCACCAAUAGAUCUUCCACAAAUCGCGGUACGUCUUAAUGGCCCCUAGAUGAAUCGAGUAACGUGCACCAUGCGCGUCUGCAAGAAUUCAUUACCUUAAGUCAUCUAUUCUGGCAUACAUACCUGACCUGGGCAAUGCAACACACCAUCUCCACCUUUGGAGAAAACCUUUACUUUCUGAUCUCUGACUGACUCUUUCAACUUAGCUAAACUGGGAUCUCUAUCCUGCUUUUCCUUUACUUCAAAAACCAGAUAUGAUUCUGAACUAUUCUACACCCACACAUUACCCUCUGCUGAAUCGACUAAGUGGACACCUACUCGGGAAAGCUGAUAAACUUCCUAAACUAACAUCUUCUUACCAUUCUCAACAUGAGUAACACUACCCAUAGACAACCUACUGGGAGCAUCUACCACUACAUUGGCCUUGCCAGGAUAAUACAGAACACUUAUAUCAUAAUCUUUCUACAGCUCUAACUACCUUCUCUGACGCAGAUUCAAAUUUUUCUGAGAGAACACAUACUUCAAGAUUUUAUGAUCUGUGAUCACAUCAACAUGCACCCCAUACAAAUAGUGCCUCCAAAUCUUUAAGGCAAACACUAUUACUGCUAACUCGAGAUCAUGGGUAGGGUAAUUAUUUUCAUGGGGCUUAAGCUGUCUAGAGGCAUAGGCUAUGACCUUACCUCUCUGCAUUAAGACACAACCCAAACCUACUCUGGAUGCAUCACAAUAUACAACAAACCCAUCUGAACCAUCUGGUAACGUCAAAACUAGGGUUGUAGUGAGUUGAGCCUUCAACUCCUGCAAACUCUUCUCACAAGAAUUUAACUACUGAAACUUAACUUUCUUAUGAAUCAAUCUAGACAAGGGGGAUGCAAUAGACGAAAACCCUUCAAAAAACCAACGGUAAUAGCCAGCUAAACCCAAGAAACUCCUGAUAUUUAAUAAAGAAAUAGGUCUAGGCCAGUUUUUCACCGCCUCGGUCUUUUGAUGAUCAACUCUAAUGCCAUCACCAGAAACAACAUAACCAAAGAAUUCUACUGACCUUAGCUAAAAUUCAGACUUACUGAAUUUGGCGAACAACUGAUGGGCUCUGAGAGUCUGAAGUAUGAUUCUGAGGUGGUCUGUGUGAUCAUUCUCGCUACAAGAGUAGACAAGAAUGUCAUCAAUAAAGACUAUAAUGAACAUAUCCAAGUACUACUUAAACACAUAAUUCAUAAAGUCUAUGAAAGCUACUGGGGAAUUUAAGAGACCAAAGUACAUGACUAGAAACUCGAAGUGACCAUACCGGGUUCAGAAAUCUAUUUUUGGAAUGUCAUAUUCUCUGACUCUGAGCUGAUGAUAGCCUGAUCUGAGGUCUAUCUUAGAAAAGUAACCGGCACCCUGAAGUUGGUCAAACAAGUCAUCAAUUCUAGGAAGUGGGUAUUUAUUCUUGACUGUGACUUUUUCAACUGAUGGUAGUCUAUACACAUUCUAAGAGAACCGUCUUUCUUAUGCCCGAAUAAGACUGGUGCACCCCACGGGGAAAUGCUAGGUCUGAUGAAUGCCUUGUCUGUAUGGUGUAAUAGAUAUAGGCUGAGUGUCUGCAAGAAGGUCUAUUUCGAAGUUGAUUUCCCUUUCAGGAGGAACUCCAGGAAGAUCUUUGGGAAACACAUCUAAAAAUUCAUUUACUACUAAAACUGACUCAAGACUAAGAGUCUCUAAACUAGAGUCUUUGACUCAUAUGAGAUGAUAGACACAUCCCUUGGAUAUAAUUUUUCUCGCUCUAAGGUAUGAAAUCAACUGACCCUUAAGCGUUGCGGUACUACCCCUCCAUUCAAGGACUGGCUCAUUUGGAAAUUAAAAAUAAACAAUUUUGUUUCUAUAAUCAACUGAGGCAUAACAUGAUAUAGCCAAUCCAUGUCGAGAAUGACGUUGAAAUCUGUCAUCUCUAAUUCUACAAAAUCUACUGAAGUGACUUUUCGAGAUAUCAAAACCGGACAGUUUCUGUAUACCCGUCGGGCUAUGAUAGACUGACCCAUUGGAGUAGAGACUGAGAAAAGUUUUGUUAAGGUUUCUGGUAUGACUUUAAAGUUGACUGCUAUGUAAGGAGUUACAAAAGACAGAGAAGCUCCUGGAUCUAAUAAGGCAUAAACAUGUAAAUAAAAGAUCUGUAACAUACCAGUAACCACAUUAGGAGAACUUUUUGGAUCUUGUAGGGACUGAAGUGCAUAGAGCCUAUUUGGGUGUUGCCCACUGGUGGCACUGGAAGCGGCACCCUGCUGAUUCGUGCGACUGGACUAAGUCGAAGGACGAUUGUACUGACCCUGGGAACCUGACUAAGGAUAAUCUCUAACUCUGUGGCCUGGCUUACCACACUCGAAACAUACAUCUCUACCAGCUCUAGAAAUACCCUGAUUAUUUCUGCCACAUUUCUAACAAAGAGGAUUUAUUCGGGCACUGCUGACACUACCCUGAGAUUUAGGACCUAGCGCCCUAUCUUUGUUACCAUUUCUAAACUUAGGUACUGAAGCACUGGCUGAGGAUGGAGCUGGAACUUAAGAUUUUAAAUGGAACUAGGAACGUUUAUCGCCCUCUGAUUUAGGUUGAGUGAAAUUGAAACUACCUAUUCUAGCUCUCUUGUUCUUCUCCUCUCUCUCUCUCUCCUUAUUCUUAGCCUCCUUUAUCUGUUGAGCAGGGACCAUGAUCCUGGAUAUGUCUAUCUCAUCUCCUUAAUCAACAUCGCAGUUCUGCACUUCUUAACCACACUCUCUGACACCCCAGACACGAACUUGGUUAUUUUGGACCUAUAGUCUGCUACUACAUGGGGAGCAUACCUGACUAACUGAGUAAACUUGAGGUAAUACUCUUUCACACUCAUGUUGCCUUGUCUGAGAUUGAUGAACUCUAACACCUUGGCUUCUCUCGGCUUUAAGGGAAAGAAUUUAUCUAGAAAAGCAGUAGCAAACUCUUCCCACUCUAUGGGCUCUGCAUCUGUGCCCAUGUCUACCUUCCACUACUUAAACCACGUAUGAGACACAUCCUACAACUGAUAGGCCGCUAACUUAACACUCUCACUAGUAGUUACCCUAUAAUAUUUAUGACUUUCUUCACCUGAUCGAGGAACUCCUGUAGAUUUUUUUCAGACUUAGAUCCUAAAGAUAGGGGAAGAUUCAUUCAGGUGAAGUCCCAAAUACUGGCUGCAGCAGUAUUGUUCAUUGGGUUGGCCUAAACUAUAGCUAGCUGUUCAUUCUGAGCUGCUACAAAAUGGGCUAGAAUGGUGAACACAGCAUGAAACAUGCUCGUCCAGCGGAUCUACCUAAAUGGGCUAAGGUGUUGGUUGGUUUCCUGUUCUUCUUCUGUUGGUCUUUUUGGGAGGUAUAUUCUGUAAAUGGAAGGAAAAAACAAAUUAGAAUAAGAGCUUAACUUGAGCUCAUGCUCAUUCAAAUGACAUGAAUACUGAAAGAAGGGAAAUUUUUCCUAAAAAUGUCUCAUACCCUCUUGUGCAUAAGUGUGGCGCGCUACACACCCAUGGACAAGACUCUACUUGAUACGGCUUUCAAACUCCCUACUAAUUUGUUGAACCUUAGGCUCUGAUACCAAGUUUGUAACACCCCGAAUCUGCACCCCAAACGUCAUACGGUGCUUACGACCCCGAAGGACCACAAGCUAACCCAUGACUGGUACCUGCUGUGAGCACUGAAUAAUAAUACUGAAAUAAUGCAGAAAAUAGGUUGAAAUGACAUAAGGUUAAUAAUCUGAAUAUUGAUAAAUAUAGUACUUAAACAAUAUCUGAAAGCUGAAUACUGUCUGAACUAUAGUCUGAAAAGCCUCUAAUUAAACUGUCUGAAUGUGGAAUUAAUAGGAUAAGCCCCCAACUAACUCCAACUACUAAAAUACUGAAGCUACUGAAAUACUAAAAUAAAAGCAUAUCCUCAAUAAAUGAGGACUCACUAAUGAAUUUGCGGUUGCUAUCUGAAUCUGUCUAAAUAUGGUCAGGAACCUGAGCGUUCAAACUUAUGAUAUAAGAUAUCAUAGCGCAAAGAAAGAGUAUGUGUCAGUACAUGAAAUAUACUAGUAUGCUAGAUGAGGUAAGGCUAAAUGAAAGGGUUUAUAUGCAUAAACAGUAACCGAUGAAUGAUAUGAAGUAACUGAAUAAGAGUACAUGGAUAACUGGAACUACUAUAAAAUACUGAGUAUGCAAUAUGUCGCAUAUAUAUGUAUACUGUAUCUGAUCUUUUACUGAUUCUUAGUACUGAUUUCUUAUACUGAGUAACAGAUAUCUGUGAUUACUGAUAACUGAAUUACUGAUACUGAGUGAUUGUGUCUGACAGUCCUGAUUUUGUAGAACUGAACUGAAUUCUAUACUGAGAUUGAAACUGAAACUAUGAGAAGUAAUCAUCUAACCAACAUACCCCAAAUAAUAUAAUCGGGUCCCAACCUGUAACCCCAGCUGGAAGGGUGUCAGUAUCGUGCCAUGGGUAAAGACAAGCUGAAGAGUUACCCUCAUCUGGCAGGUGCCCCGAAUGAGAACGGUGGUUCAUCAACUGGCAGGUAAAACACCUUAUCAACCCCCAACUGGCAGGUUGAUAGCUCAAGCUACAUUGGCUACGUAUUUCUGAAAUGCAAGGACUACUUCUAAGGAUCACACCCUCUACUGGUAGGUGAGUCCCCAUCCUCGGGUUCACUCGAUGUUGAAUCCUACUCCCAACUGAAGACACUGAUUAUUAUACUGAGUUGAACUAGACUGAUACUGAGUUUUACUGAGUUCUAUAACUGACUGGGUACUACUAAUCGUGACAUUACUGAGACUAUUCUGUAACUAUUGUAGCUCUAGGUAAACAGCUAGAUUUUUGGGUAUUGAAUACUCCCAGGACUCAAUAGCUUUGAAAAUAAAGCAUGGCAUGAUCAUAAGAGCAUAACAAUACUUGUUUGUUAACAGUGCACUCAUUUAGACAUCUUGUCAAACACUUGAUAUACAUGAACUUGUACAUAAAUGGAAUCACAUAAUGACAUGUCAUGAUUUCACUAUCCAAUUCACAUGAGUAUUUUAUCAAACACUUGGGGAGCAUGAUUAUUCACAUAAUAAUAGUAAACAUAGGAACAUCGUGGAUACAAUAAUCAAUUGUAAAUUCAAGGGUUUAACAUUCAAAUCAUAUAAUUUAUCAUACAUACUAUUUUAACUUCAUGAAAUUUAUAAUUAAUCAUGGAUUGAAACCCAAAUAAUAUCAUGAAUACAAUCAAUUUCAAGUACUGAAUUCAUAAAUCUGAGAACAUGUAUGUUUAAAUAGGGUUCUUGGACUCCAUGGGUGAAAGGUAACCCAGGAUGAACACCUAACAUACUUGAGAAGAUUAAUUCUUGAAGGUUCUUGAAAGAUUUCUUGAGAUUUGUUCUUGACUCUUAAAGCUAGGGUUUUGUUAAUUUGAGAGAGAGUGAUUUAAUUAUGAGAGAAAGUGAGUAAAUAAUGACAUAAUAGGUUAUUUAGGGCAUAAAUUUCGUGUUUAGGACUGAUUAGGGGUUUUGUGAAUUGACCAAACGGUCCAUGAAAUAAAAUCACGAAAGCUGAAAAUCCUAAUUUUUCAUUCCGGUGCGACGUGGUACAAUUACGCCAGCUCACUGGAAAAUGGAAAACUGGGAACUGGAAGCUUGGCGUGAUGCGAUAUAAUCGUGCUACCCCAGUGAAUGCAAAUUUGGCACUCGACGCGAUGCUGUCGGUCCACUGGAAAAGGAUGAACGCGAAAUAGCACAUUGGUGCGAUGCGGCCUUAUCGCGUUAGGACGCUGGAAAAUGACAAUUGCCAUUUGGACCCUCACCGCAAUGCGGUGAUGUGCAUUAUGACACACUGCUUCACUAAAACUGUUAUAACUUCUCACCCGGGUAUCGAAUUUGGGCAAAAUUUAUAUCAUUGAAAAGCUGAAUGAAUUUCCUACGCAAUAGCAGGUCUUAAAUUUAAAAAUUCUAAGUAUUUUGAAAAAUUUAUAUAGAUUCGCUCAUGCACUGAGAUUUAAACUGAUCUUGGGAAAUACGGGGUAUUACGAAUGAACUCUCAUAAGAGUCCUAGUAAACCAAAGAUUCAACUGAUUCCAAUCAAGCAGUUUAACUAUGUUAAUGGUGUUUCUAGAGUUGUGUGGACAGAAGAAGAGGUUGAUCGGAUGAAUAUUAUAGAGGAACUUCAAUAUGCUAUCACUAGUUAAUUCUCUUGUGGUUGACCUAAUUUAGAUGAUCUGAGAACUCAUUUGCCUUAACAACUUAAGGUGAAAAGAGUCUAUAAGAUAGGUUAUUAGAGAAGUUGUGAUAUCUUUAUGAGAUUUGAACUUAUUGAAGGCUUUAUGAAUGUGAUGUCAAAGACUGUUUACUAUACAAGUGAUUAAGAGGGCAUUCCUAUCAGAUGAGACCUUUAAUCUAUGACGCUAAAUUUAAGGUGGAUGAAGAAACUACACAAGCUAUUACAUGUAUUUCUUUUUCAGGUUUAAAUCCAACCUUUUUUUAAAGAAAUUAUGUUUUGCAUUAGCUUCGUUUGUUGGUAAGCCUAUUCAUCUGAAUAUGGCUAUAAUGAACAAAACUAGACCUAUGUGGAGAUAGAGAGUGUCAACUCCAACACUAAGGAGUCAUAGAAAAGGUCAAGAUCAAGUAUGACUUCCUUUUUAAGUACUACAAAGAAUGCAAGCUUCAAGAUCAUGAUGAAAUGGAGUGUAGAGUGUUACAUCUGGAAUUGAAUCCAUCUCAAGAAUAAGAAGAGACCAAUAAUAAUCACUAUCAAAAGGAAAAACUCAAAGUCACUAAAUCCAAAGCUAAUGAAGGAUGGUAGAUUAGGUUGAAUUUUAAGUGAAAUUCUACCAGAAAAAGAUUCAUUAAUAAGGGAUACCUUAGUGAAAAAGCGUCAAGUCCAGAUAAAGAGAUAUGUGACAAUAACUCUUUCAAUUCUUUGACAAAAGAUAGGGGAGUACACAUAAAAAAUACAAAAUGCAAAAAAUUCAAAGUGACAAGGUAGAGCAGAAAUCCAUAAAAGACCGAGUCUCCAAGUCUUUUCUAGUGAAAGCAGUAGUGACAGCGACCUCAGUUAAUAAAGCCCCUAUAAAAGAUAUGAGAGUAAGUGAUAAGAAGAAGCAAUAACAAUUAGAGGUAAUUAAUGAGCCUGACACCUUCAAAAAUUCAGCCAACGGUGAAGCUAGGAAAGAUGAGAUUAAGGAGUCUGAUGACACCUUAAAAUAAGCAGAUUACUCUAAAGGUGAAGAUAGGGAAGAGUGGAAAGUUGUACUAGCAAAGGAAAAGGUUUAGAAAAAGUUCUCUCAUUGCAGACUCAAUCUGCAAGAUAGUGAAAUAGAGUUAAUUGACAAAUUUCAACAUCCUAAUAUUUCAAAUAAUUUAAUGAAGUCAAGCCAUAUACCUAAAGUGGUGGGUGCUAAUAAAGGAUUGGAGGAAGCAAGUCUAACAGAAGUGCAGAAAAUAAAAUCAGGGUAUCAUAGCAAUAAAUGCAUUAAAAAAGUGGGGAGAUGAAGUGUAGAUUCCUCAACUACAACUACAAAACCAAUAAAGUCAGUAGGUCAUUAAGGGACAUAUAUGGAGUAAUGAAAAUAAUAUGGUCCCAACUAGUGAUAACAAGCUGACUAUAAUUAACCCUUUAGAUGUUGAUGAAUCAUUUGCUCGGAGUGUUGGAUCUCCUAAUAUUAUUCUUUAUAAUAUUAUCACUCAUAAUAUUGAAGAGGUGAAUGAAGUUGAGCUGCUAGAGAAUAACCCUGAUAAGAAAUGUAAAGAAGAUGACAUCCUUAGACAGGGGGAUCUAUCCCCAAGGGCUAUUAAAGCUAUUAAAUCAGGAAAGAAGGGAAAUAAAUAGGGCAAUGAUGAGGUUUCACUACCUAUCAGGGUUCAACCAAAGAGAGGUGGAGUGUUUCAAAAGAAAAACAUUAAUGAAGGCUACAAUUUGAAAUAUCAGAUCUGUGAAGUCACAAAACGUUUUUUAAAGGAUUCAGAUAGUACACAAGUUUCAUAAAUUUACAUUUAUUGCAUUAUUAGAGCCUUUUCAGCAUAGAAGAACAAUCAACAGAUACAAAAACAGAAUACAACUGCCUCUACAUUUCAUAAUUAUUUAAGAAAAAUUUGGUCCUUUGUCAAUCAUGAUUUUACAAUCAAUAUAAUUAGUAAUACAGAACAAUAAAUUUCAUGUCAAUUGUGUGAAUUUCUAGUGCUGUGUGCUUUAUGGUGACAAUUAUCUAUGCAAAAUGUGAUAGAAAUCAAAGGAAGGAGCUUUGGGAUGACAUUUAUUCUAUCUACAAUAGCCAACCUGGUCCUUGGAUUAUAGGGUUGAUUUCAAUGUUGCUCUUAGUGGAGUUGAGAAUAUUGGUAGAGUUUCAGUUACUAUUAUUGACGUAGAUGAUUUUCAAAUAUAGAGUCUUGUGAUAUUUUUCAAGUGCAGUAUAAGGGAAACCUCUUUACUUAGUAGAAUGGGGGAGGAGGAACUGAUUGUAUAUUUGAGAGGCUUAAUAGAGUGUUGAUUAAUUUUGAAUUUCAGAACAUCUUUUCACAUGCUAAGAUUGAACGCUUAUCAAGAUAUGGAUCAGAUCAUGCUCCUUUACUUCUUAAAUAUGAAAAUAGAUCUAUCAAAGUCCGAAGAUCUUUUAAAUUUUUGAAUUUUUGGACAGAUCAUGCAAAAUUCAAAAAAGUUGUCAGAAAGAAAAUGGAAUACUAGUAAACUCCAAGUUUAUCAUGAUGUGUGCUUUUUGGUUUAGUAAAUUUCAGAUUUACUAUGACAUGAAUAGAUUUCAAAUUUACUACUUCGGAAGUAGAUUUAAAAAUAACUCUUCUCAAUUAUUCUAUCUCUUUCGAAGAUGAUUGUGAUAUUAUCACAAUCAAAUGCACGUUUGUAUUGAUAAGCUUUUCUAAAUAUUAUCGCAUUCAUCCCAAGAAAUGGAUUUAUACUUAUACAAUCAAAAUUUUCAUCCCUGAGAAUAGAGUAUAAUUGUGCCUUAAACCUAUCAAAUUUUGAUAGCUUAUAACCUAUUUCAUGAUAUUGCUACUUCACGAGUAAAUUCUAACAUAUCUUAUAAUCGUAAUAAGCGGGUGGAAAUAUUAUUACUUUUAAUGAUUAUUAUCAAGUUGUCCUUCCAUGUGAAUAUUUGUACAUUCAAUCACUUGUCUUCUUUUAUACAUAUUAUACACUGCUACCACAUUCACUUCAGAGAAUGAAGCAUAUUCAAUGGACAUGUCUCAUGAUUUUCAAUCAAAUACACAUUAUUUUGUCCUAACCAUCAUUAUAUCAUCAAUAUGGUGCAUUGAGAUUCAAAUCGAUGGGGCUUAUCCAUAUAAAGACAUCUUAAACUAUAAAUCGAUGGGAAUUGAACCCAAUAUCUUAUCAUCACGGUGAUCAAAACUCUAACCCGAUGUCUUAUCCUUUAUGUGGUGGGACUUGAAUCCCCCAUCUCACUCUCUAACAUAUAGAUUAGAGUAUACCAAGUUUCAAAUCAAAAGGAGUAAAAAUAUUAACAAAAACUUCUGUACGUAUAAAACCACAGUUUCUCAUAAAACACAAAACUCAUUAAAACUUAUCAUGACUAAUAUAUGCCACGACCAAAGGUAACACUCAUAAUAUUCCCGGGUAUCAAUAAUAGUUAAUACCACUUUGAAAACCAUCUGAAAAAUUAAAGUACCGAGAAAUAACUAAUCUUGAUUUAACUUUUAGAGACCUUCUCAUCCAAGUUUCUUUCCUUGGCAGAUGAUGGGUUGAAUUUUGUGAAGAAGAAAAUUAAUUUAAUUUAAUUUAAUUAAUUAAAGUCAUAUUGAUAACGUGUUAUGAAAUAUAAAGCAGAGAAGAAGAAGAAGAAGAUGGGUUUCUAACUUUUCCAUAAAUAGACAUUCACUAUAAAACACAUUUAUAACAUUUUCUUUAUUUUGUUCUUUUUCCUCAACUUUUAUUAUGUUUUUUUUUCUUUUUUACUUCGAUUUCUUGCAAACAACAAAUUACGCUCCAUAGGCAAAAGUUGACACUGCCACACAUUAUGUCUUGAUUUGUGAUAUGUUCAAUAAAUUUUGACUUAGAGACAAAACUUAGGUCAAGGACUUUCAAACAAUUACGUCCCAUGAGCAAUAAUUGAUACUAUCACAUUGUGUUUUUUAUUUAUAAGAUGUUCUAUAACUCUAAGCAAUAUUUGAUACUAUCACAUUGUCUUUUUAUUUAUGAGAUAUUCUAUAACUCAUACCUUAGAUGCAAGACUUAGCCAAUGAUUUUCAAACAAGAAGUUAUGCCCUAUGGGCAAGAGUUGACACUACCACAUUGUGUUGAUUUAUGAGAUACUCUAUAACUCUUGCCUCAAAGGCAAGACUUAGCCCAAGGACUUUCAAAUAUCAAGCUACACACUGUCAUACCCCUUUUUUACUUAAGAUCAAAACGAGGACCACAUUAUGGACUCUAAAAAGAAUUAAUUUAUACAAAGUCGCCACCUAAUUUUUAAGGAAAGAUAGGAAACCUUAUUUUAUCCCUUUUCGAUUUUAUUUUAAAGAAAAUGGUUUUGACUUUUCAAAAAAAUCAAGAAAAAUUUGAAAUAAUUAUUUUAAAAAUUUACAGAGUUGCCACUUGAUUUUUAUCAAAAAUAUCAAGAAAAACUUAAAGAGAUUUUCAAAGAUUCAAAAACAGAAAUAAAUCUUUAAAAAUUAGAGAAACUGAGUAAGAAUUUAAUUAACACCCUAGUUUUUACGACACUUAAGAACGUCUAUUUUAAAAUAGUUCACCAAAAGAUUAUUUUCUGACUAACUUAAAAGAGUGACUAACGUUGCAAAAGGUUGAUUUUUAAUGAAAAUACCGAGCUUGAUUGAACAAUUUUGAAACAAUAAAUUUAGUUUAUUAGAGUCCAAAUACUCCAUUUUUAGCUAAAAGGAACUGGCUUUUGAAGCAAAGUUUGGGCAAAAAAUUUGUUUUUAGUGAUAUAAUUUCUUUUAAGGGAAGGGAUCAUAAACAGAAAUAAAUCUUUAAAAAUUAGAGAAACUGAGUAAGAAUUUAAUUAACGCCCUAGUUUUUACGACACUUAAGAACGUCUAUUUUAAAAUAGUUCACCAAAAGAUUAUUUUCUGACUAACUUAAAAGAGUGACUAACGUUGCAAAAGGUUGAUUUUUAAUGAAAAUACCGAGCUUGAUUGAACAAUUUUGAAACAAUAAAUUUAGUUCAUUAGAGUCCAAAUACUCCAUUUUUAGCUAAAAGGAACUGGCUUUUGAAGCAAAGUUUGGGCAAAAAAUUUGUUUUUAGUGAUAUAAUUUCUUUUAAGGGAAGGGGUCAUUUUCAAAGGAAAAAAACUAUUUAAUUAAAAUCUUGACUUUAAUAAAAAUAGAUUGUGAGGAGAAAUUCUAAACAAAAAUAAAUAAGGAACAUUCAAUCGAUCAUGGGAACUAACUAUCUAUCUAUCUAUCAAAUAAGUGGCGAGAAGAUAAUGAAGACAAAUAAAAAUAGCAACAUAUAAGGGAUUUAUCUAGGUUAAUCAAUUAAAGUGUACAAAUAAAUAUAAAUAAACAAGUUAAAAUAGAAACUAAAGAGAAAAAGAGUUAAGAUUGGGCCCUUUUCAAAUCUGGUCAACUUUUGGGCCUAUUUUUCUUGGGACUUUUGGCCCAUUUCUGCAGUGUAUACCCAGCUGUAUACUUACUGUAUAUCAGUUUGCUGCUGCUGCAUUUUGUGUAUAUACGGCGUAUAUAUGAACGUAUUUGAGCCACAUACACACAGCUUUAAUCCUCAACCUGUAUACGUAGCUUUCCUUUCAUUUUCCCUCCUUUAAAAACCUGUUUGCUUGUGUAUAUCCGAUGUAUACAGCUUUGUGUGAGUACACUUUCUUCAUGUGUUAGUCCAUUUUGGACUUGGUACGAGUCUUGACUCAAUGCGAGUUGGGUUUAACCCAACGGAAUGAGAGGGAAGAGAGAUCAAGGGACUCGACGGAGGAGUUCACGCAUAUAAAAAGGGAUAAAGAUUAGUAUCAAGAACUAGAUCAAGUAUUAAAGCACCACAUUCAUAACUCCAACGAAACAUUCCAUAAUCACAAACUCAUUCUUCAUGAAAUCGGGGGAUUCAAUUGACACACAAUAGCAUGGACACAGAUUAACAUUUACACCAAGAAUCUCAAAAAAGAGUUAAAUAAAGGGUAAUGAUCGAUAUAUCUACCGACACAUACUAUACCCACUUCAUAGGCAACCUAAUGAUAUUUUUUAUUUUUUAUUUUAUUUUUUUUAGAUUUGAAACCCAGCAAGAUCAUUCAUAGCAGGCACAUGAAUUUCAAGUGUACAAACAAUACUAUUUUGAAAGUAGACACACGCAAAAAGAAGAGAAAGUUGCAUAGGACCCCAUCUUGCAAAAUUCAAAAUUUCACCAUUUUUGAAACAGAAGUUAUACUUUCCAUGACUUUGCAAGUACUGGAAAACGCAUAUUUUUAAAAAAAAAUAAGAAACACUAAAAUAACCAUACACCACCCCCUUUGACUGGUUGCAUACCCACAAUACAAACAUCUUCACAUCAUUGACUGGUUGCAUACCCACAACACAAACAUCUUCACAUCAUUGACUCAGAAAAGGUAAAUCUAUCCUUUUUUACCAAGAUUUCUGGUUAAUCAUACCCCUAAGUCCAUUAAAAAGUUAACUCUUUUAUUGAUUAGUCCACUUAUGACAUGGGGUUUUCUGAUUCUUGUAAGUACAACAAUACUAUAACACAGACGAAUUUCAACUAGCCAUCAAUCACGAAAUAACAAGUAGCAGAUAAUCAAGAAAAGCUUUAAAAUCAGCAAUAGAGCCAACAAAAACUCAACUGACGUAUUUCAACAAGAUAAAGGUUUUACCUUUUUAGGUGCAGGAACUGGGACGAUGAAUCGAUCAAAGACCUACCACCACUGAAAUUUCGUCAACCCGUCACAACUGAAUUUUUUGAACAUUCUCCUUGAGAAUUUUGGUUACGUGAGGUUAAAGGCGAGCACCUUCAGAACCCCCAAUUUUUUUUUUCCUAAAAUCCUCCCUCAAUAUCUAUUUAUAGGAGAAGAUACUGAUUUUUCAUCUUUAAAAGUAGAGAAACAUAUCCCUAAAAUUCGGAUUUGAAUUGACAUCUUCUGAUUUGGAUUGAAUUUUGGGUUUGAAAACAGAUAAUCUUGAGCAAAAGGUCAACAACGAUGGCUCUAGGUGUGCAAAAUUGCAGAGACAAGAUGGAGAGAAAGGUUUUUCGUGAUUUAGGGAGUUUGUCUUUGGUAUUAGCAGUUGUACGUGUUGACUGAAGCUGGACGGGUUCGAGUCGCGACUGAUGGGCGCUGUUCGGCUGGCUGAAAUAGGGUUGAAGCCGGGUCGAUUUUGGGUACAGGUUUGGUUGAAGUUUCGUUGUUGCUGGUAUCGUGUUUUGUUGUUUCAGUUAUUGUUGAUAUCGUUGGAUGUUUGGUUGUCGGUGAUUGCUAUGCUGUUGUCUUUUGAUAUUUUUGGAAACUGUUUGGGAAUUGGAUUUUGCCAUUUUAAUUGUUGAUGGAGUGAACAGGUGGGCCGGGUCAGCUGAAAUGGAGUGGGCUGGGGGCGGUUUAGGGAGCAAUUGGGGCCUGAUUUUGGUGUUGUUGUUGUUGGGCUAGUCUUGUGGCCCAAAUUUAAAAAUCAAAAAGGGGUAGAAACUUGGUCAUUUAUAAAAUGGCCAAAUUAGGCUAGAAUUUGAGUCAACUUUAUUUAAAUAUUAAUCAAAUUGGAUAUCAAUUGACUAAUUGCAUUGCAAUUGUGGUCAAUUUUAUUUCAAUUAUGAUCAAUUUUAAUAAAUUGACUAAGCUAAAUCAAGACUUGAAACAAAUUAACGACCGAUUCAAUCUCGAGUUUCUUAGUUUUAAAAGAUCAAACACAUAUUUCUCCAAAUAGAUUAUUUUUGAGAAAAAAUUAUAAUUGAAUCAAGAUCGCAACUUUUUGAAUUAAUUUUUCAAGUAUAAGUCAUGAUUAAAAUCUGAUAUUUCAUAAAAUAAAUAUUUUAACUAACAAAAUUAUAUGAUUUCGUAUAAUUGCCAAGAUAUGAAUCAUAAAAUCCUUUUGCAUUGUCAUAAAAAUUUCAUCAUCGCUCGAAUUUAUUUAUUUAUUACGUAUUUUAUUUACAUAACAUCCGUCUUUUUAUUUGUAAAGGCCUCAAAAAUCGACGGAGGAUUUCUUCAUCGGCCAGUAAUGUAGUAUUUUUUUAAAAAAAAUAUAAUGUCCAUUCAAGAUAAAUUAAAAUUUUCAAAAAGGAUUCAAAACAUUAAAGAAGAUUUCUAAUAUGUUAACUUCAAAUAGUGAAGACAAAAACAGUCAACAAAUAACAAUAGAAGUAUUAAAAUAAUACAAAGGCUAUGAUAACAUUAAUAUAAAAGUCAAAAUAAUUAAUGACCAAACGUGUAUAUUUAACUCAUGAAAGUAGUUAUUAUUUUAAGCCAAAUAAAAUAUAUAAUCAGUAGUCAUAUAAUGGGAAAAUAUCAACAGGCAACAAUAACGAAUAAUAAAUUAAACAUUAAGCUAAAUUAUGAUGGGUCAUCGGAGUAAAUUUCAAGCAAAAUCAUGAAAUAAAUUAAAAUAAUACAAAAGAUUGGCAAUAAAACACUGAUGAAAUAUAUUCUAAUCAGAACAAACACACACAAAUGAUAAUGAAACAAAGAGGAGGAAAGUUUCACCGAAGAUGAAGUGUUCCGGCUAGAUCCGAUAGUGCUAACAACGUGACAGAGGUGAGGAGGAGCGGGGGGCGGGGGGGGGGGGGGCAGGAAGAGAGGGAAGAAAGAGACGGGGGUCGCCGUGGUUGUGGCUGAAAACGCCGUCCGACCAGUAGUCAUCGCCGGCGAUGGAAUAUAGGUGAGGGAGAGAGAAGGGGAUUAAGAGGUAGAAAAUUGAGAGAGAGCGAGAGAGUGAAAGGAUCUGAUUUUAGUGUGUAUACGUUAGUGUGUGGAGUGUAUGUUUUGUAUUUAGAAA
This 22576-nucleotide long non-coding RNA is filed under the name Capsicum annuum. RNAcentral's name for it is "long non-coding RNA (CANN_LNC016922)". The record is from RNAcentral. Lineage: Eukaryota; Viridiplantae; Streptophyta; Magnoliopsida; Solanales; Solanaceae.